Peromyscus leucopus (white-footed mouse) is the source of this 686-nucleotide long non-coding RNA. RefSeq lists it as uncharacterized. The transcript has 2 exons. The record is from RefSeq and is a predicted model, not a curated record. NCBI's taxonomy places the organism in Eukaryota, Metazoa, Chordata, Mammalia, Rodentia, Cricetidae.
CUGGGAGCUUGAGGCCACUGGGGGGCCACUGCCUCUUGCGCAUGCACCUGGAUCAGCUGGUCCUGAGUGUCUGACCACAGGAUGGCUGGCUGCUUCUUCCUGGAGGCCUUCCCUGACCACUCUUCAAGGUUCGAGACUGAAGCAGCCCCACAGCACGUCCAUCAGCAGCAGUCCACAAGGGCUCCAGCCAGGUUUACUGCUUGUCACACUGAGUGUGGGUGGCAGGCCCCCAGGGUGCUCCCCAGGGAGGUCACAUGCUCCUUAAAGCUUUGCUUCCUGCCCAGUGUCUCCCCCCCGCCUUGCUGGAGCCCUCUGUUGUGCAUGAGCAUGAAUUAUGGGAAGUAUCUUGUCACUCGUGUAAUGUCACGUUGGGAAAGAAUGCUGUAACCAGGCUGAGAAAUGCUCUUUAGGGGUCACACCGUAGACAUGGAAAUACAUUCAAGGGGCCUUUUGGUUCCUGGCUCUUGCCCACUAUGGUCCAGGCAGCUCCAAGCGUACACAGCCUGAUCCUAUCCUUUGCAUUCUCACUGACAUUUCAACAAUGAGGAAAUUAAGGCUCAGAUAUGUUAAGUAACUUGCUGGAGGCCACACACUAGGUGACAAACAUGGGUUGAGCAACUGCUGUCUGCUGAAUCAGCAUGUCUUACAAUGUCCUGGCGCAGAGAAGCCGAGAAGCCUGGCGACUG